Molecule: ribosomal RNA, 519 nt
Filed under: Triticum aestivum (bread wheat)
Lineage: Eukaryota; Viridiplantae; Streptophyta; Magnoliopsida; Poales; Poaceae
Description: partial small subunit ribosomal RNA
Source: RNAcentral
AUGAGGGAUAAGUAUGAGGCGCUGAGGAAUUAUGGACUGGAAGAAUCAGAGGCUACCAUCUUCCAGAGCGGCGCCAAGCUGGGGAGGCAGCUUGAGGAGAUAGAAGAUGUUACCAGGCGUUGGAAGGUGCUGGCUGAUUUCUGGUGCGAGAUGAUGCUCUACGUUGCCCCGUCAGAUAAUGUCAACGAGCACAUCGAGCAGCUCACGCGGGGCGGCGAGCUCAUCACCCACCUGUGGGCUUUGCUCUCCCACGCCGGCAUUCUAGAGAGGGGCCAAGAUCAACAGACUCCUCCUAGCCGCCACCCACAUGCAGAAAAUACCUGUGAGAGUCACCAAGAAAUUGAGCAAGAUUCAGCUAGUCAUGAAGGAACUACUCAUCAUUUGGGAACUACUUCCCCUGCUGAUCCUUUGGCGGCUGCUUCCCCUGCUCAUCAUUUGGCUGGCAAUCUGCAAAUGAGUGAUUUUGCCCUGCAAGCUCCUUCGCCAAGGUUGUUCUUCAAGCUGGCAGCCUGCCACUGA